This is a long non-coding RNA of Pangasianodon hypophthalmus (striped catfish), 656 nucleotides long. RefSeq lists it as uncharacterized. The record is from RefSeq and is a predicted model, not a curated record. The transcript has 3 exons. Lineage: Eukaryota; Metazoa; Chordata; Actinopteri; Siluriformes; Pangasiidae.
AUCCAGGUCAGCUUCUUUCUCCCACCUACAUCCCAGCUGGGCCGAUACACAUGCCGGCCCCAGUGAGUGCCAUUACUAUAGAGCACUGAUGCUUGUGCAGGCAUGGGAUGAUUCCUCUGGGUCUUAGUAGUCACAGUUGUCACAUCCUGCUGCAGAUCUGUUGGACCAAAUUACAAGCAAAAUACAGGUCCUAUAACAAGCUUUUUAAAGGCUGUUGAAAAAAUAAUGAUGUCAGGAACCACCUAUGGCACGGAAUCACUGAUCAACCAGGAAUAACUGAACAACCAGCUUCCAUGGUUGUGGAGAAACGACGUUUCGUUCCAAUGUGUACAAGCUAUAUAGAGGAAUAUCAAUAAAAACCCCACUUGAUUUGAAACACAGAUAGUUUUUUAAUAUAGAUUAUGGCUGUCAAUAUUUUUCUUUUCCUCUGACAUUUCAGCAUUAAUACUCACACUUAGAACUAAUGCGCUCCAUUUCAAGCAUCUGUGACAUAAAAUAGUUUUUAACCUACAAAAAAAUGGGGAUAAUUAUAGAUGACUCUUGUCCACUGGAUGGAAUUUUAACUGACACACUCCACCAGUUUCCACCACUGGUCACACAGGUUUUUGUUUAAAAAUGUUUUAAUGGUUAAUGUUAAAUAGUUUCCUGUCUCCUUG